Molecule: ribosomal RNA, 490 nt
Filed under: uncultured bacterium
Lineage: Bacteria
Description: partial 16S ribosomal RNA
Rfam family: Bacterial small subunit ribosomal RNA
Source: RNAcentral
AUUGAACGCUGGCGGCAUGCUUUACACAUGCAAGUCGAACGGCAGCACGAAAGAGCUUGCUCUUUUGGUGGCGAGUGGCGAACGGGUGAGUAAUGCAUCGGAACGUACCGAGUAAUGGGGGAUAACUGUCCGAAAGGAUAGCUAAUACCGCAUACGCUUUGAGAAGGAAAGUGGGGGCGCUUCGGACCUCACGUUAUUCGAGCGGCCGAUGUCUGAUUAGCUAGUUGGUGGGGUAAAGGCCUACCAAGGCGACGAUCAGUAGCGGGUCUGAGAGGAUGAUCCGCCACACUGGGACUGAGACACGGCCCAGACUCCUACGGGAGGCAGCAGUGGGGAAUUUUGGACAAUGGGCGCAAGCCUGAUCCAGCCAUGCCGCGUGUCUGAAGAAGGCCUUCGGGUUGUAAAGGACUUUUGUUAGGGAAGAAAAGGAUAGUGUUAAUACCAUUAUCUGCUGACGGUACCUAAAGAAUAAGCACCGGCUAACUACGUG